AAAAUCUUUAAAAAAAAAGAAAGUAUUUUUAUCGUAAUUCAGAAGAAUUUUCACGUAAAAUUUUUAAUUCUCAAGAGAAGUAUGACAAGCGUGUUGGGUGCGGAGUGUGACAAAAUCCGAUUGGAUUAUGAAGCGGAGACGGAGCUGAGGCUCGGAUUGCCCGGAGCUAAUGGGAAUGAACUGGAAUCGAGUAAUAAGAACAAUGGCAAAAGGGUCUUUUCAGAAACUGUUGAUUUGAAAUUAAACCUUUCUAAUUCAAAGGAUUCCACAUUAAUGGAUAAUAUUAAUAUUAAUCAAGUUGAUAACAUGAAGGAGAAGAAGAAUAAUAUUGUUGUGCCAAGCUCUAAUGAUCCUGCUAAGCCACCAGCCAAGGCACAAGU
This 380-nucleotide unclassified non-coding RNA is filed under the name Hevea brasiliensis (rubber tree). The record is from RNAcentral. Lineage: Eukaryota; Viridiplantae; Streptophyta; Magnoliopsida; Malpighiales; Euphorbiaceae.